AGGAAUUGAAACACCUUAUUCUCAUCAUCCUCCUUUAUGAUGCCAGGUUUGGCAGCACAAAUACAUCUUUGGCCAUGAUUUGUGCAUACUGCUCCUAACUCAUCCCAUAACCCUUUGAGUUUGUUAAAAUAGGAUGCUAUAUCUAGAGGUCCUUGAGAAGAAUGAGAAAGUUCUCUUUUAAGUUCAAAACUUUUGGUCCUAUUGGCUGUGCCAUAUCUGGCUUCGAG
This 227-nucleotide long non-coding RNA is filed under the name Nicotiana benthamiana. RNAcentral's name for it is "long non-coding RNA (NBEN_LNC023707)". The record is from RNAcentral. Lineage: Eukaryota; Viridiplantae; Streptophyta; Magnoliopsida; Solanales; Solanaceae.